RNAcentral lists this ribosomal RNA (531 nucleotides) under Triticum aestivum (bread wheat). Its description in RNAcentral is "partial small subunit ribosomal RNA". The record is from RNAcentral. Lineage: Eukaryota; Viridiplantae; Streptophyta; Magnoliopsida; Poales; Poaceae.
AUGUUCACUACUGGCAAAGACACCGAGUAUAUUACCUUUGUGAAGGCACGUCUUAGUAAGCACUUCCUUAUAUCUGAUCUUGGCCCGCUUUGCUACUUUCUUAGGAUUAAGGUCUCUUCUUGGUCAAGAAAAGUAAUCCAGGAUCUUCUUGCUCAUGUUGCUCUUACUGAUGAGCGCACCAUUGACUCCCAUGUAGCUAAUGUUCACCUUCGCGCUACUGAUGGUGACCCUUUGUCGGCUCUGACACGUUAUCGUCAUCUUGUUGGGAGUCUUCCGGCUAUCACCCGCCGGGAUAUCUCCUAUCAUAUCCAUAUUUUGAGUCAGUUCGUCUCUGCCCCCACCUCGGUUCACUAUAGUCAUCUUCUUCAUGUUUUUUAUAUCUUCAUGGUUUUUGAUAUCUUCGUGGCACGAUCCCUCACUGUAUAUUCUUUCCCGUUCACGUUCAUUACAACUCCCAGGCAUAUUGAGAUGCUAUGUGGGCUAGUGAUCCCUUGGAUUGUCGUUCACUUUCUGCUUCCUGUGCAUUUCUAA